AAUAAAGCACAUGCAUGUAUAAUAUUAAUAUUUAAUAAUACUAUUAAUAAAAUUCAAUAGUGAAAUUAAUGUUAAUUUUAGAUACAUUUGUCAUCUAACUAUUAUAGAAUUUAUUUGAGUGUGUUGAGGCUAGCUCCUCAGUCUUUCCUCCCAUAUGAACUUAAUCUUUAGAUGCAUAACAUAGCUCUCAUUUUGGUGCUAGGAAAAAAAUGUGGGAUGGAAGGUUUGCAUUACUCUGUAUAGAUCAAGCCUAUAUACUAGUUACAUGAUACAAGUGGACUACCAAAAUACAUUGUGAAUUGUCAGAGAAUUGAUGAGCACAGAGAUUCUUGGAGCUUGUAAUGAGAGCAUAACUUCGUAGUUACAUAAAGGUGUAGUUCUUAGAUACAGUAGGAAAUACAGACACUUGUUUCGAAGCAAGAGUCUUUGCCACUUCCGGAUACUGAUCUCUUAACGGUAGUAAGGGUCGUGCAUCUAAGACCUGGGGGAUAACAAUUCAUGAUCAUGAUGCAUGAUUACGUAACAAACAUUUCUGCGAUUGAAUUACAAAGUGGUUUGGUCUUGUAUUGCGUUAGAAACCUAGGCUUUGUUUCCAGCCACAUCUGUGCUAACUUCACUGUGCCUUUUUUUGCUGAUUUAUUCAGGAACUUUGCAGGUUAUAAGUAAACUGACAGGGAACGAUAGCUUCCCCUAUGAAGAAAUGGUCUGGAAAGAAGCUGAAAACAGCAGAAGGCAAGGAGAGCAUCACUGGCAAGUGCUUAUGUCUUGUGUUUGACAAGAGUUAGAAGUUUUUAUUUUUCCUUUUGUCUCUCACAGGCGGUCUGAGGAGGAAGUGUGCUGUGUCAGUAAUGUUGUAGACUCUCCCAUCCAAGGCAUUCCAUCUGCUCUUGCUUUUGCUGCUCCUAACCAGACUGUGGACUUGUUUGAGAUGAUUGAAAAAAUGCAGAACUUGCAUGAUGGAAGAGCUAUACACAAAUGGUUCCAUUCUUCUCAGAAUUAUGAUUUUGAGAGAAAAUCAAAGUUGCAUAAAGGUUUUGCGCUACACAACCUGAGCUACAUCGGAUCUUCGCUUUGCUCUAGAGGAGUGAUUGUUACAUUUAGACUUGCAUCUUCUUUCCAGGAAGUGUGUUGGAAGUGA
Molecule: long non-coding RNA, 1138 nt
Filed under: Pavo cristatus (Indian peafowl)
Lineage: Eukaryota; Metazoa; Chordata; Aves; Galliformes; Phasianidae
Description: lncRNA (ENSPSTG00000005333.1)
Source: RNAcentral